RNAcentral lists this ribosomal RNA (505 nucleotides) under uncultured bacterium. RNAcentral describes it as "partial 16S ribosomal RNA". It matches the Rfam family "Bacterial small subunit ribosomal RNA", at positions 28 to 507 of the family's 1533-position model. The record is from RNAcentral.
GACGAACGCUGGCGGCGUGCCUAAUACAUGCAAGUAGAACGCACAGUUUAUACCGUAGCUUGCUACACCAUAGACUGUGAGUUGCGAACGGGUGAGUAACGCGUAGGUAACCUGCCUGGUAGCGGGGGAUAACUAUUGGAAACGAUAGCUAAUACCGCAUAAUAUUAAUUAUUGCAUGAUAAUUAAUUGAAAGGUGCAAUUGCACCACUACCAGAUGGACCUGCGUUGUAUUAGCUAGUAGGUGAGGUAACGGCUCACCUAGGCGACGAUACAUAGCCGACCUGAGAGGGUGAUCGGCCACACUGGGACUGAGACACGGCCCAGACUCCUACGGGAGGCAGCAGUAGGGAAUCUUCGGCAAUGGACGAAAGUCUGACCGAGCAACGCCGCGUGAGUGAAGAAGGUUUUCGGAUCGUAAAGAUCUGUUGUAAGAGAAGAACGGGUGUGAGAGUGGAAAGUUCACACUGUGACGGUAUCUUACCAGAAAGGGACGGCUAACUACGUG